RNAcentral lists this ribosomal RNA (292 nucleotides) under uncultured bacterium. RNAcentral describes it as "partial 16S ribosomal RNA". The record is from RNAcentral.
GGACUACACGGGUAUCUAAUCCUGUUUGCUCCCCACGCUUUCGUGCCUCAGUGUCAGUAUUAGGCCAGGUAGCCGCCUUCGCCACUGGUGUUCCUUCCGAUCUCUACGCAUUUCACCGCUACACCGGAAAUUCCACUACCCUCUCCUAUACUCUAGUCUAACAGUCUCAUCUGACAUGCCCAGGUUGAGCCCAGGAAUUUCACAAAUGUCUUAUCAAACCACCUACACACCCUUUACGCCCAGUAAUUCCGAUUAACGCUCGCACCCUCCGUAUUACCGCGGCGGCUGGCAC